UUUGGUUAUCAAUAUAAAGUUUAUCAACUACGAGAACUACACGUUUCCCUUUUAAUCUAUUCUCCUUGAAGAUUGGGUACAGAGCUUUGGCCAUUCUGCAAUUUCCUUCGGAAAUUGAUAAUUCAUGCCUAUUUUCGUGCCAGCAAUUCUUUUACCCAGGCUUUCAACCAUUAUUUUCUAUUUAAAGAAAGCACAUUUGACAAUGACUGGGCACUCAUCUCUCUGUCCGAAACGGUGUACGCGUUCGAUUUGGAUUUUGUCGACAGCUUCGCUCAGGAUCUGAUGCACUAAAAUAAGGAUCUCCCUCACUACACCCUCAGGAACUUCUCCUUUUUCUCUUGGAUACCAUUGUAAAUCCUCCUGGAACCAACAUUUCCUCCCCAGUUUUCAGUUCCAUCCCUCCUGGAGAGGAGAUGGCAGUCAGCAAUACAACAACCGAAGGAGAAGAAGCCCACUUGCGCAGGAAGACAACACCCCACCUUGUGUCCGAAGAGGACACUAGUCUGCAAUAUGCUACAGCAACAUCUACCAGUGACCGAGCAAGUCUGCUUUAUACUACUGUGACAUUUACCGGUAACCAAGCUGGACCUGGGUGCACCAAGAUCAAGUUUGCAAUGACUGGAGACUACGCCCUCUUAGCAGAAUAAUAGAAUAAGAAAGACUGUCUUGAAGAAAAGUUUUUAGUUUUUCUCAUAGUUAACUUACGUGCCUUUCCUUCAACCUGGUGAUGCACUUACAAAAAAUAAUAAUAAUAUCACCCUGCUUGAUUUACAUAUCUUCUACUCUGUGGACACCAUGUCUUCCUGUAGUCUGUAAACAUCAGUUCCUCUCAGAUUAAUGGUAUUAUCUUACUGGGCUAUAAAUAGAUGUGCAGA
Salmo salar (Atlantic salmon) is the source of this 875-nucleotide non-coding RNA. Lineage: Eukaryota; Metazoa; Chordata; Actinopteri; Salmoniformes; Salmonidae. The record is from RefSeq and is a predicted model, not a curated record.